GGCAACCUGGCCGAGCGGUCUAAGGCGCCAGGUUAAGGCUAACACCUUAACGAAUAUCCUGGUCUCUUCGGAGGCGAGAGUUCGAAUCUCUCGGUUGUCA
Non-coding RNA from Yarrowia lipolytica, 100 nucleotides. Lineage: Eukaryota; Fungi; Ascomycota; Dipodascomycetes; Dipodascales. The record is from Rfam.